GAGUUGAUCGGGUGAGAGAGGAGGCUGAGAUUGAGGAGGAGUCAGGCCGAGAAGGAGAAGAGAAUGUCACGCAAGGGAGAGACAAUCAAGGAAACCAGAAGGGGAGAAGGAAACACAGCCGAAAAGGGAAAGGAGGAGGUGUCGCGGAGGCGGAAAGUCGAAGGGAAGGGAAGAAAAAGGAAUCGCGACUAAAAAUCACCGUGUUGCACGUGACAUCAGUGUCCGAAAAUUGGCAAGUUUCGUCCUUUCCAUUUCUUUUUCAAGAUUUCCUUUUCUUAUUUCACUCUAACCGACGUGUAGGUGUGAAACCAAUUAACCAAUCUUCGAAGCAAGCAAGGAGUGCUCUCGGGGAACCAAGGAGAUCAUCCUCUGGAAGCUAGGAGUCGAACCUGAGGUUGUUCGGGUUUUCGGAGCGCCACACCUGAACCAGGUGCGUUCCUUUUCCUCUUUCGGUGUGUGUUCUUGACGAAAUGGGUAUUCAUAUGUGUGUGUGCAGGUUUUGGAAGCUAAAGUACUCACCUCGCUACAGUGAGAGAAGGUUUUCUCAGGAAAAUUAGAAAUCGUCUCUGGUAGUGAAAAUCAGAAAAAGUGAAGCUGUUUGGCCUUCACAGCACCAAAUCGAAUUCAGUAACUUUCCUUUUCCUUCCUCGUUGUCAACUUUGGUUAAUAUGGUGCCGAUACGUAUAUAUGUGUAUACGUGUAGAUUUUCGAAACCCAAAUCAUCCAUCCCUACGCAAGGAGUUGAAGUGGUGGUUCGCCGAAUAUCGAAAAACAAGAUUGUUGUUGGUAAUUACCAAAAACGACC
This 805-nucleotide long non-coding RNA is filed under the name Carica papaya (papaya). Its description in RNAcentral is "long non-coding RNA (CPAP_LNC005710)". Lineage: Eukaryota; Viridiplantae; Streptophyta; Magnoliopsida; Brassicales; Caricaceae. The record is from RNAcentral.